AGGGGACUGGUGGAGGAGGGGUGGAAGAUUUCUCUUUUAAAUAUGCACUUGUGUAUUGCUUGAAUUCUGUUAAACAAACUAUUUCAUAACCCCUUCUACUGCACACAACCACUCCUUGGAUCAAGAACCACUCACCGAGAAGACCAAGACUGAGGCGUGAGCAGAGGACCCACUUGCCUGGAUGCGAUCAACUUGCUAAAAGCAGACGGGAAUAAGGAUCUCUACGGUGGGCAAUCUCUCACCUAAAAUACUACAAUCGACUUAAAGCCCUUCCGGAUUAAAAAAGACCAGAAGGAGUUAUGCUGAUGGGGAGAAAGCCACAUCACGAAAGAGUCUUUGACCCCACUCACAAGAAAGAUAUUUUUCAAGAUAUAUCCAUUAAUAUUUUAAAAAAGUCAUUCCUCAAACCUUAGCUGCACCCAACAUAACAAAUAAAAAG
This is a long non-coding RNA of Aethalodelphis obliquidens (Pacific white-sided dolphin), 439 nucleotides long. RefSeq lists it as uncharacterized. The transcript has 3 exons. Lineage: Eukaryota; Metazoa; Chordata; Mammalia; Artiodactyla; Delphinidae. The record is from RefSeq and is a predicted model, not a curated record.